UUUAAAUAAGAAUUUACGAAUUUUAGAAAUAAAAAUGUAAUUAACAGAUAUUUAUUUUUAUACGUUUUAAAUAUUUCAACGAUUUAUGAAAUUAAAAUACUUUUAGAAUUUUAUGUUGAAAAUAAUUUGAAUUACGAAAACACGUUCGAAAUUGGAAAAGAAACCUAAUCGGUUUUGGGAUUCAAAUUCUAAAACUAAAUUCCUAUUCCUAGCCCAAUUGGGUGAAGCCCAAUCGGGUGAAGCCCAAAAUAAUAAACCCAAAACUCUCUCCCUUCCUCUUCUUCAAUUUUACAUAAAAACAACAACUCUCUCUCCUUCAACCAUCCACGUGAACCAGCAAGCACCCAAACCCUCUUUGUUGCUUCAGCGCCGUCGUCAACCACCAUCGCCAGACCGCCGUCUGCACCACCCUCGCCGUCGGCGUCUCCUCCUUCGUCCGGUAAUCCUCCCUCCUCUCUUAUCUCUUUCGUUCUCCUCCGUUCUCCUUCUCCUCUCACGUUUUCCUUUUCUUGAUUGGUUUUCCUUUCCUUCCUCUCCUCCUUAAUGCGUGGUUUUGUGCAGCAACCACCACCCACCUGCGAAACCGACCGCGACGGCCACCGGUUCCUUUGUCGCCGCCGACCAACCAGCACCAACUUCGCAAUCCUUCCACACGCAAACAGUCCUCCCUUUGGCUUGCUUCUUGCUCACGGCACCACCACCAGCGACCCGAGCAACCCUCGCUGCCACCAUUGACAGCCGCCACCGCCGCUGCCGCGUCAUCUCCGACCGCCGUCCAACCACUCUUCAUUCUCUCUUUUGGCGGAGAAUUCUCUUUAGGCGACUUUUGAAAGUGUUAAAGUGACCUAUUAGCUGUUUACACAAGAGGAAGAUCAUUGAAAGCUCAACUAGUCGGGUUGUUGAGGAGGAUGCCUCCAAUGUAGAGGUAGGCGAGCUGGAGGACAUGUAGAUCGAGGUUGUUGUCUCUCUUAAUAGGGUUGGAGAGACAUGUUGUUCAACCGGAUGCAUCACUUGUCCCAUAUACCGCUCAUGGGCGUGACCGACGUCAAGGCGCGACUACAUGAUAUUCUAGAGUGUUGGUGGGACACCACUUGUACAUUCCACAUGUACUGGGGGAGAUCACGAUCACUCCCUUUGACUUUUCUAUGAUCACAUGACUCCUUUUUUCUGAGAGGUAAGUCCAGCAUGGUAGUGGUCCGAGUUGGGGCAGUGACGAUGCUCAGGCUUUGAUUGGGCCCUUUGCGAAACGAUUACGACCUAACGAGGAUUCUUUCCCGUUGAUGAAAAUAUUGCCUGGUGUUGGGCUACCAGGUGCUACAGCGAAGCAAAGGGUUUGGUUGUUCUUGCUCGUACUUGUCUUCCGGAUGAUUAUUCCCGCCAGCAGUAGUCAUGUGCUGGCACGCUACUUAGAUCAUUUGAGGGAUUUGGGAUCUGUCUCGAGGCUUAGCUGGGGUAGCUUGGCAUAAAUCCACCUUCUGUACGAGAUGAAGAACGCCUCGAUGACUGCUUUGGUGGACUCUGCUGGCUGGCUGCCUUAUGGAGAGUGUUGGAGAUCUGGACGUAUGAGCAUUUCCCUGGCUUGGCGCCUGCUCUCCCUCAUGGUGCGGCUUACCUGUUUGCUGCCUCGUGGACUGGAGCAGAGCGCACUAGCAUUUCUAUGCAUACGUUCCGCAAGGCUUUGUGGAUUACCUGUGUUAGGGAGGUUGUAUUUAGCCCUUUCGAUGGGAGCCCAUGCCAGAUUCGGCAGCUCGGGCCCGCUUCCUGACUGAGCGGAGGGUGAUGAUCCUGGGGGUCUAUCUCCCCAUGUGGUUUCUGGGUGGGCGAGUUGUUCGCCAGCAUAGCUCUGUUGUUCCGCUAGUUCCCCUUGAUCCUCUUGGGUCUAUAAUGCUGAGUACCUCAAAUACGGAGAAGGAUUAUGUGAAAUCUUUACACCAAGGUGGUGUCGAUUCGCUCUGUCUCCCUUGUGAGGAUUUCGUAGUAGGGAACCCUUUAUAAGGAUUUCCUCCCGAGGCUUGCUCCAGCUGUUUGUUUUGUGUCACCGGUUGAGGAGGCUGGCCCUGACGAUAUCUCUUAUGAUGACAGAGUACUAUGCUUUGUGGAUGAUGAGGGGAUGUAGGUAGAGGUUCUGAUUCCCGCAGCACCUCCUUCAGACUGGAUGGCUGCCAACGCCAUUUCUGAGCGUUUUGUAGCUGUGAGCAUUUUUUGGUCUUUGAAAUUGUCUUAUCUUGUUGUCUGUAACUUAGAAACUUAUCUUUGAAUUGUAUAUGAAGCCCCUGGAGGAAAUAAUGCCCUUGGUCCAAGUAUGCAUUCAAUGCUAAGUCUAAUAAAUGCGGUUCAGUAUUGAUUAAACAAGUUAAUAAUUCAGUGAGAUCAAGUGAGUUGUAUGCCUAGCUAGAGGUCGCUUCAGUUCAAGUGGAAUUAAUAAUAUUAAUCCACAGCUUACUCUUGACUGAAACCGUAGGGUCACACAAAUAUUACGUGAAUGGAUCAAGUAUUUAAGUGAAUAUAUUAUUCAUUAAA
Molecule: long non-coding RNA, 2520 nt
Organism: Spinacia oleracea (spinach)
Lineage: Eukaryota; Viridiplantae; Streptophyta; Magnoliopsida; Caryophyllales; Amaranthaceae
Exons: 7
Source: RefSeq, a predicted model, not a curated record